This is a non-coding RNA of Citreicella sp. 357, 115 nucleotides long. The record is from Rfam. NCBI's taxonomy places the organism in Bacteria, Pseudomonadati, Pseudomonadota, Alphaproteobacteria, Rhodobacterales, Roseobacteraceae.
UUUGGUGGUCACAGCGCGAGCAAAACACCCGGCUCCAUUCCGAACCCGGCCGUUAAGUGCCGUUGCGCCGAUGGUACUGCGUCUCAAGACGUGGGAGAGUAGGUCACCGCCAAAC